UGGCAAUCUUUGAGGAAACAAGACGACAAGUUAUAGUGUUGCCCUCUUCACCAGCUCUAAAUCCCUGGGGCCUGGGCUUAUACGUUUCUGGAUUAUACAUUUGCAGUUUGAUUUGUACCGUUUGGGGCCCUUCGAGAUUGUUUACAGCUUCAAGGAGGUUUCCUGCUUGCUAUCUGAUGGGGACAGAGGGAGGUAUGCUGCCACAGCUCAACUUUGUUUGCUAUUUCUCUGCUUAACGAGAAUGCUAGAUAACCUUUGGUUGCCGUUUAGGCUGUGAUCCGGCUAAUCUAUGUCGUUCACUGGUAGCGUGGCACUCCGAUCUUACCCUGUGCUCUUGGCUGGCGUUAGCUCUGUUUGCUCAAGUGGUCAGGAGGCUGGCUUGCGGAGGAGCUGGGGCGUAGCCAAGGCAGCAUAGCAGCGUGGUUAGCCAAGAAUCACAGAUUCCUAGGGACCACUGGAACCAUCUAAUCCAGCUUCUGGCCAGAGAAUUUGCCCCUAGUAAUUCCUCGGCUCGCUCUGUUAGAAAAAUAUCUCGCCCUUGCUGUGGUGGUGUCAGGACUCCUGAGUUCUGUUCCCGGCUCUGGGAGAGAGGUAAAUUGGGGGUCUGUUGAUCUGUUCCCAGCUCUACCACUACAUUGCUGCGGGGCCGUGGGCAAAAUCGUUUUAACUUCAUUGUGCCUCAGUUUGCCUCAACUGGUAAACUGAACCAGAAAGACGAUGGGAGUCUGGAUUGGAGAUGGGAACCCAGGUAUCCUGGCUCCCAGUCCUGUGCUUUGAUCACCUCUCCACCCAAAAGUAUCCAGUUUUAAAAAUAUUACUGCCUUAUCCCGUUUAAACAACCGCCACACAACAGCCUUAAGAUCUGAGGCACAGGGCAGGCAAGAUCGCUACACAGGGCAGGGACUAGAAAACUCAGCUUUCCUGAGCCAUCGUUCGCUGCACUCUCCACUAGACCACACUGCCUCUCAUGGGGGGGAGUGGUCACCAUCCUGCCUUAUUAAUGUAAAUGGAAGGGCUCUCUGGUUCCAGUUAAGAGCCACAGGUGUAGAUCCCCCUGUAACUAACCCCAAGCAUUGAAAAAAAUCACAAGCCCUAUCCCGAAAUAAUCACAAGGUUAGUGUAAAAAUCGGGCGCGUCUAAACAACCGUUUGGGUUUCUUGUUCUUCGCCUCCUCAUUUCAAAUCCACGGUUUGUGGCUUUUUUUUUCUUCUGCAACCACCAGACCCAGGUGCUUCCUUUCAGUUAAAAAAAAAAUAUGAAAACUGGGAUGUUCCUGUCAUCUCAGGACUCCAGGAGUUGAGGCUUGAAGGAAACACCCUGCGUAGAAUCCCAGAGACCAGCUGCUCUCAGAUGGUCAGGACUGGGUGGAGGGGAUGGGGGCAGAAGUCAGGAAUGCAGGUGGGAAUAAAUCAUUAACUAGAGGAUAGGGUUAAAUAUUAUCUGCCUUGCAGUGCACUAGUUAGGAUCCCAUUAUAUGGACAUAGGGUAAAGAGGCAGCCUCUACCCUAGAGACAGUGAAAGUUGCCAGCUGGUUCUGUGCGUUAGCCCUGGAGUAUUAGCAAGGAAAGGGUUAAAUCCAGCUUGAUCUGUUCUCUUUCUUUGCAGCUGAGAGGUCCGAAGUCCUCUGAUGUGAAGGACAGGAGAAACGGAAACUGCCAAGCUUUUCCAUGUAUCCCAGGGGAGCACGUCCUGGCAGAGGCAGCUCGCGUGAGGAAGAUCGUCCCAUCCAGGGCUGGCAAAGGAUCCAUCCUGGGCACCCU
Non-coding RNA from Pelodiscus sinensis (Chinese soft-shelled turtle), 1760 nucleotides. NCBI's taxonomy places the organism in Eukaryota, Metazoa, Chordata, Testudines, Trionychidae. The record is from RefSeq and is a predicted model, not a curated record.